This 363-nucleotide ribosomal RNA is filed under the name Triticum aestivum (bread wheat). RNAcentral describes it as "partial small subunit ribosomal RNA". Lineage: Eukaryota; Viridiplantae; Streptophyta; Magnoliopsida; Poales; Poaceae. The record is from RNAcentral.
AUGGUGACUGUAUGUGCAUCAAUUGACUGCAAAUUCAGGCAUCAGUUGUGGGGGACGGCCAUGACGAGAUCGACUCGGGGUUCCUGGGAACAAGAUGGGGCACCAACGUGUGUGUGUUCACCGACGUGCUUGUCAGCACCCGAGGUGGGCUUGGAACGAACACACACGAACGAGAGACAUCAGUGUUUUAUUCUGCACACACUCCAGAGCUUUUCUGUUCUACAGUAUAUCUUUGCUAUUUAUUCAGAUUUACAGAACAGGAAACAGGGCUUCGUGGCACCUGACUUUCGCUGUCAUGAUUCACAGCAUUCGUGCCAUCCAACGAGCAGACCGACGAGGCACGAGACUCGCUCAAGCUGUUAG